RNAcentral lists this ribosomal RNA (505 nucleotides) under uncultured bacterium. RNAcentral's name for it is "partial 16S ribosomal RNA". It matches the Rfam family "Bacterial small subunit ribosomal RNA", at positions 28 to 507 of the family's 1533-position model. The record is from RNAcentral.
GACGAACGCUGGCGGCGUACCUAAUACAUGCAAGUAGAACGCACAGUUUAUACCGUAGCUUGCUACACCAUAGACUGUGAGUUGCGAACGGGUGAGUAACGCGUAGGUAACCUGCCUGGUAGCGGGGGAUAACUAUUGGAAACGAUAGCUAAUACCGCAUAAUAUUAAUUAUUGCAUGAUAAUUAAUUGAAAGGUGCAAUUGCACCACUACCAGAUGGACCUGCGUUGUAUUAGCUAGUAGGUGAGGUAACGGCUCACCUAGGCGACGAUACAUAGCCGACCUGAGAGGGUGAUCGGCCACACUGGGACUGAGACACGGCCCAGACUCCUACGGGAGGCAGCAGUAGGGAAUCUUCGGCAAUGGACGAAAGUCUGACCGAGCAACGCCGCGUGAGUGAAGAAGGUUUUCGGAUCGUAAAGCUCUGUUGUAAGAGAAGAACGGGUGUGAGAGUGGAAAGUUCACACUGUGACGGUAUCUUACCAGAAAGGGACGGCUAACUACGUG